AACGACUCUCGGCAACGGAUAUCUCGGCUCUYGCAUCGAUGAAGAACGUAGCGAAAUGCGAUACUUGGUGUGAAUUGCAGAAUCCCGUGAACCAUCGAGUUUUUGAACGCAAGUUGCGCCCGAAGCNUCCGGCUGAGGGCACGUCUGCCUGGGCG
Molecule: ribosomal RNA, 155 nt
Filed under: Silene stenophylla
Lineage: Eukaryota; Viridiplantae; Streptophyta; Magnoliopsida; Caryophyllales; Caryophyllaceae
Description: 5.8S ribosomal RNA
Rfam family: 5.8S ribosomal RNA
About the family: 5.8S ribosomal RNA (5.8S rRNA) is a component of the large subunit of the eukaryotic ribosome. It is transcribed by RNA polymerase I as part of the 45S precursor that also contains 18S and 28S rRNA.
Source: RNAcentral